Molecule: long non-coding RNA, 814 nt
Organism: Oncorhynchus tshawytscha (Chinook salmon)
Lineage: Eukaryota; Metazoa; Chordata; Actinopteri; Salmoniformes; Salmonidae
Source: Ensembl
GGCUGGGGUAUAGGGUAUAGGGCUGGGAUAUAGGGCUGGGGUAUAGGGCUGGGAUAUAGGGUAUAGGGCUGGGAUAUAGGGCUGGGUUAUAGGGUAUAGGGCUGGGAUAUAGGGUAUAGGGCUGGGAUAUAGGGCUGGGGUAUAGGGCUGGGGUAUAGGGUAUAGGGCUGGAAUAUAGAGCUGGGGUAUAGGGUAUAGGGCUGGGAUAUUGGGCUGGGGUAAAGGGUAUAGGGCUGGAAUAUAGGGCUGGGGUAUAGGGCUGGGGUAUAGGGUAUAGGGCUGGGGUAUAGGGUACAGGGCUGGGCUAUAGGGCUGGGGUAUAGGGCUGGGAUAUAGGGCUGGGGUAUAGGGCUGGGAUAUAGGUUAUAGAGCUGGGAUAUAGGGUAUAGGGUUGGGAUAUAGGGCUGGGGUAUAGGGCUGGGGUAUAGGGUAUAGGGCUGGGGUAUAGGGCUGGGAUAUAGGGCUGGGGUAUAGGGCUGGGAUAUAGGGUAUAGGGCUGGGGUAUAGGGUUUAGGGCUGGGGUAUAGGGCUGGGGUAUAGGGUAUAGGGCUGGGAUAUAGGGUAUAGGGCUGGGAUAUAGGGUAUAGGGCUGGGAUAUAGGGCUGUGGUAUAGGGCUGGGAUAUAGGGGGCUGGGAUAUAGUGUAUAGGGCUGGGAUAUAGGGCUGGGGUAUAGGGCUGGGGUAUAGUGUAUAGGGCUGGGGUAUAGGGCUGGGGAAUAGGGCUGGGAUAUAGGGUAUAGGGCUGGGGUGUAGGGCUGGGGUAUAGGGCCAGGGUAUAGGGUAUAGGGCUGGGGUAUAGGGCUGGGGUAUAGGG